UCUGGUUGAUCCUGCCAGAUCUGACUGCUAUCCGGGUGGGACUAAGCCAUGUAAGUCUAACUCACUUCGGUGGGUGGCAAACUGCUCAGUAACAAGUAGUCAACAUACCCUAAGGUCGAGUAUACCCUCGCGAAAGUGAGGCUAAUCCCCGAUAGUUGCCCACGCCUGGAACGGUGGGGCAUCGAAAGCUCCGGCGCCUCAGGAUUGGACUGCUCCCGAUUAUGGUUGUUGGUGAGGUCAUGGCUCACCAAGCCUAUGAUCGGUAGGGGCCGUGCGAGCGGGAGCCCCGAGAUGGUUACUUAGACAACGAACCAGGCCUUACGAGGCGCAACAGGCGCGAAACCUUUACAAUGCGCGAAAGCGCGAUAAGGUCACCCGGAGUGCAUCCGAGUACAACUCGAUGCUGUUGAAGUGUCUAACACGCACUUCGAGGAAGGAGAGGGCAAGGCUGGUGCCAGCCGCCGCGGUAACACCAGCUCUUCAAGUGGUCAGGACUUUUAUUGGGCCUAAAGCGCUCGUAGCCGGGUGGGUAAAUCUCUGGUUAAAGCCGGUCGCUCAACGAUCGGAUUGCUAGAGACACUGCCCUCCUUGAAGAUGGGAGAAGUCUGAGGUACUCGAUGGGUAGCGGUGAAAUGUGUUCAUCCAUCGGGGACCACCUGUGGCGAAGGCGUCAGACCGGAACAUGCUUGACGGUGAGGAGCGAAAGCUAGGGGAGCGAACAGGAUUAGAUACCCUGGUAGUCCUAGCUGUAAACGAUGCGCGCUAGGUGUUCAAAAGGCUAUGAGCCGUUUGAGUGCCGUAGGGAAGCCGUUAAGCGCGCCGCCUGGGAAGUACGCUCGCAAGAGUGAAACUUAAAGGAAUUGACGGGGGAGCACUACAAAGAGUGAAGCUUGCGGCUCAAUUGGACUCAACGCCGGGAACCUUACCGGGAGCGACAGCAGAAUGAAGGUCAGGUUGAUGGCCUUACCAGACAAGCUGAGCGGUGGUGCAUGGCCGUCGUCAGUUCGUGCCGUGAGGUGUCCUGUUAAGUCAGGCAACGAACGAGAUCCUUAUGCCUAAUUGCCAUCAAGAGCCUCCGGGUUCGUUGGGAACGUUAGGUAGACUGCCAUCGUAUAGAUGGAGGAAGGGAAGGGCCACGGCAGGUCAGUAUGCCCCUAAUCUCCCGGGCCGCACGCGAGCUGCAAUGGCAUGGACAAUGGGUUGCGACGCCGACAGGCGAAGCCAAUCUCGAAACCAUGUCUCAGUUGGGAUUGUGGGCUGCAACCCGCCCACAUGAACGUGGAAUUCUUAGUAAUCGUGUGUCAACAACACACGGUGAAUACGUCUCUGCUCCUUGUACACACCGCCCGUCGCUCCAUGAGAUUCGUUCAGGGGUGAAUUAUGGUCCAGAGGGUCGUAAUGAACUCUUGGGUGGAGAUCAGGGAGAAGUCGUAACAAGG
RNAcentral lists this ribosomal RNA (1439 nucleotides) under metagenome. RNAcentral describes it as "bacterial SSU rRNA". It matches the Rfam family "Archaeal small subunit ribosomal RNA". The record is from RNAcentral.